AAGAUAAAAAUUCCAUGCAAUAUGAAUGACUUGUUGAUCCUUUUAGGCUUGUUUUACUUUGUAUUUUGAAUUGACCGGAAAUUAAAGCAUGACGAUCUUCUAGAACAUACUUUGCGUUGUCUUUUGUUUGUAGCUCGGCAACGGCAGUCCUCUCUCGAUUCCAACCAUUUCCGUUUCUGUUGCGUUGCCGGGUGCUCCUGCCCUCCUUUGACGUCCCGUACCCGUCAGCAAUUUCAUCCACCCAAUCUCAUCCAUAAUGUCUGACAAGAACAAGAAAGAUAGUCCAUACAAGAAGUUUGCUCAUAAGAAUGCCACCCACACGGGAUUUUGUUCAAUGAGGCAAUUAGAACUAAACAAGGCAUAUCAAAUGUACGACUUGAUUCACACCACGAAGUAUGGUUCGGGCGAGUUGGCUCAUCUAAGGACGAGCAAGAAUGUCUGCUGGAAGGUCCAGUUGCCAACCAAAUAUUUGAAAGAGCUGGACCCUGAAGAUAUCGAACACUUCAAGGCAGACAUCAAGAAGAAAGCUUAUCCCUUUGUUGCUUUUCGCGAAGUAAUGAAUGAUGGCAGUUUUAGAAUGGAUAUGCUUGAAGACAGUCCUGACAUGAGAAUCAAAUAUAAAAAUUGGGAGGACAUCCCAGAAGUUGUUUUUGAAGAUAGCCUGAACAGCAGCAAUGAGGGACCUGCUAACAAGAGCAAGGAUGAAGAAAACGGCGAUGCAUCAUCCACUGACAAACCUCUAAAUCAAUCUGGUUCCUCUAAAGAUACUUCCAAUCAAUCUUAGGGUUGAAUGUUUCAACUUGAAUGUUGCUGCUGUCACGGGCCCGUGCCAAAACGCCGGUGCGCCGUAUGGGUAGGCAACCCACCAGCCACCUUUCCCGCCAGUGAGGGCGGUCAGACAGCAAGCGGCCAGCGAAGCGACAGGCAGACGGACCGCCGACACUCUCCGGUUGUGCUGCCUCGUCAGUCACCGCUGAGACGCCAGACAGGUCGGGUCGGACGCGCGCAGCCAAGUCGCGUUAACCCCGUGAAAACGUUGUAGAGUCGGGUCGAAUUUUCACCUACUCGUCCAUCAUGUGUCCUCCUGUCGCUCUCAAGUACUCGCUCAAUACAAGCCCGCAAGGGCUUUGAGUUACGGGGCUGUACUGUCCCUAGUCAUGGGCUAAAUCCCCUUUGCCUUGCCGCCACCGAUGCUACCUGCUUGCCGCUGAUCAUGAUGCUGGAGGCCAAGCCAUGCUUGGGCCCCCCACACCAUGGCCGUUUUGCCCACGGCCGCUCCGUCCCGACGCUUCACCCCCCUUCCCCUCCUCGUCAAGUCAACGUGGAAGAUCCAAAAUGGAGUGACUAGUGUUGUGGAGUAGUUUAGUGCUUUGCACUAUUUAAUGAGACUCAGUUGAGCCAUUUUUGUAAUUCAAUCUCGCCAUGUCUUGUGGGCAUGUUAUUUUGUGAAGUGUGGUGAAAUGUGAAGUGUGAGUGUUCCGCAGCCGGGGAGGCGCCCCUCGCGCUGCUCAAAGUGUGUGUCAUGGUAUUUCUACCUACCCGUGGUAUUUCUAUCUAUCCAUGGGAAAUGUACCUACCUCUGAAAAAGAUACCCCCCCCCCCGCACUUCAACUCUGUCUUCCCCCUG
This is an RNA transcript of Frankliniella occidentalis (western flower thrips), 1627 nucleotides long. RefSeq lists it as uncharacterized. Lineage: Eukaryota; Metazoa; Arthropoda; Insecta; Thysanoptera; Thripidae. The transcript is spliced from 5 exons. The record is from RefSeq and is a predicted model, not a curated record.